CGAGCGAAGCGGGAAGAGCUCAAAUUUAUAAUCUGGCACCUUCGGUGUCCGAGUUGUAAUCUCUAGAAAUGUUUUCCGCGUUGGACCGCACACAAGUCUGUUGGAAUACAGCGGCAUAGUGGUGAGACCCCCGUAUAUGGUGCGGACGCCCAGCGCUUUGUGAUACAUUUUCGAAGAGUCGAGUUGUUUGGGAAUGCAGCUCAAAUUGGGUGGUAAAUUCCAUCUAAAGCUAAAUAUUGGCGAGAGACCGAUAGCGAACAAGUACCGUGAGGGAAAGAUGAAAAGCACUUUGGAAAGAGAGUUAACAGUACGUGAAAUUGUUGGAAGGGAAACGCUUGAAGUCAGACUUGCUUGCCGAGCAAUCGGUUUGCAGGCCAGCAUCAGUUUUCCGGGAUGGAUAAUGGUAAAGAGAAGGUAGCAGUUUCGGCUGUGUUAUAGCUCUCUACUGGAUACAUCCUGGGGGACUGAGGAACGCAGUGUGCCUUUGGCGGGGGUUUCGACCUCUUCACACUUAGGAUGCUGGU
RNAcentral lists this ribosomal RNA (524 nucleotides) under Rhodotorula mucilaginosa. Its description in RNAcentral is "eukaryotic LSU rRNA". It matches the Rfam family "Eukaryotic large subunit ribosomal RNA", at positions 90 to 630 of the family's 3401-position model. The record is from RNAcentral. Lineage: Eukaryota; Fungi; Basidiomycota; Microbotryomycetes; Sporidiobolales; Sporidiobolaceae.